GAUGAACGCUGGCGGCGUGCCUAAUACAUGCCAGUCGAGCGAACAGACGAGGAGCUUGCUCCUCUGACGUUAGCGGCGGACGGGUGAGUAACACGUGGAUAACCUACCUAUAAGACUGGGAUAACUUCGGGAAACCGGAGCUAAUACCGGAUAAUAUAUUGAACGGCAUGGUUCAAUAGUGAAAGCCGGUUUUGCUGUCACUUAUAGAUGGAUCCGCGCCGCAUUAGCUAGUUGGUAAGGUAACGGCUUACCAAGGCGACGAUGCGUAGCCGACCUGAGAGGGUGAUCGGCCACACUGGAACUGAGACACGGUCCAGACUCCUACGGGAGGCAGCAGUAGGGAAUCUUCCGCAAUGGGCGAAAGCCUGACGGAGCAACGCCGCGUGAGUGAUGAAGGUCUUCGGAUCGUAAAACUCUGUUAUUAGGGAAGAACAAAUGUGUAAGUAACUAUGCACGUCUUGACGGUACCUAAUCAGAAAGCCACGGCUAACUACGUG
This 497-nucleotide ribosomal RNA is filed under the name uncultured bacterium. RNAcentral's name for it is "partial 16S ribosomal RNA". It matches the Rfam family "Bacterial small subunit ribosomal RNA", at positions 28 to 507 of the family's 1533-position model. The record is from RNAcentral.